This 770-nucleotide non-coding RNA is filed under the name Pseudovates peruviana. Lineage: Eukaryota; Metazoa; Arthropoda; Insecta; Mantodea; Mantidae. The record is from RNAcentral.
UUGCUUUAAGUGUUUAUUUUAACAUUAAUCUAUAUGUAAAUUUUUGUUUGAUUAAUUUUCUAAAAGAGAUUUUGUUUUAAUUAUGGCAGUAGAUGAUAUUAUAAUAUUAAAUUCUUUUAGAUUUGGUAAAUGUUAAUAGGUUUGGUAAAUGCUGUGCCAGCAACUGCGGUUAUACAGCAAAAUCAAGUAAAUAUUAUUGGCUUUAAAGUAAUUAAUAUAUUAAUUAUAUAGAAAUUAAAAUAUUAUAGAGUGAAAUUUUAUAAUAUUUUGAAGUAUAUUUUUAUGGUAUGAUUAUUAUGAAAGUUAAAAUGUAAACUAGGAUUAGAUACCCUAUUAUUUUUACUGUAAAAUUUUAAGUCGGAGUAUUAGUAGAUAUGGUCUUUAAACUUAAAGAAUUUGGCGGUAUUAUAAUCUAUUUAGAGGAAUCUGUUAUAUAAUCGAUAGUCCACGUUGAACCUUACUUAUAUAAAUUCUUGUAUACCGCUGUUUAAGAAUAUACUUUUAGGUAAUUCUCGAGAUAUAAUAAUAAUUAAUAUUUCAAGUCAAGGUGCAGUUAUAUAUAAGUUGAAUAAUGGAUUACAAUAAAUUUUAUUUAUUAUGAAUUAUUAUUGUAAAGUAAUUUGAAGGUGGAUUUAAUUGUAAUUUUAUAAAGAUUAAUAAAAUGAUUUUAGCUCUAUAAUAUGUACACAUCGCCCGUCACUCUCGUUAAUUAAGAUGAGAUAAGUCGUAACAAAGUAGGUGUAUCGGAAGCUGUACCUAGAAAGUAUAAU